GUAGGUGAACCUGCGGAAGGAUCAUUACCGAGUACCCGGGCCUUGGGCCCCUACUCCAACCCUAUGUUUAUUUAUCUCAGUUGCUUCGGUGGGGCUGUUAGCAGGCUGUACCCUCUAGCAGCUAGGGCAUGUCCCUGGGCCUUUUAGGCAUCCGCCGAGGGACCAUACCCCUAAAACUCAUAUUUUGUCUGAAAAUCAGAAAAUUAGUCUAAAAACUUUCAACAACGGAUCUCUUGGUUCUGGCAUCGAU
RNAcentral lists this unclassified non-coding RNA (250 nucleotides) under plant metagenome. RNAcentral describes it as "partial contains small subunit ribosomal RNA, internal transcribed spacer 1, and 5.8S ribosomal RNA". The record is from RNAcentral.